AGGAGUUACAGCCUAUUUGGUUCAGUCACUUCUUUUGCAGAUGAAAAUACAUCAUCUUAAGAAUUUUUCUGGAGAGAGCAGAAAAAAAUAACGCCUGUUCCCAAAGGAGGCAGGGUGCUCUCCAUCUGCACGCAUCUCAGCAUCUCUUACCUGGAGUCCAGAUCCAGACACUGAGCUAAGGAACAGAAGAGCUUCCCAGAGGUGAAUCCUAAGAUGUAAAUUGGAUGCAAAGACUAAGAAAUGUGAACAGAUUGAACAAACAGAUUGACUCUCAAGGACAAAGCUUGAAUUUAUAUAUCCUGGAAUCACAGCACCAUGAGUUUGUAAAGUUAACUAAAUCUUAACUUUCUGCAACUGCUUUCUAUAUCAAGGUCUUCCACAUUCAGGGGACAAUAAACAAUUUAACUCUUUAAUCACUAACCCUCAAUUAAAAAGGGAAGAAACAUGAAUCCUUCAUUUACCGACCUUCUCUGAUAUGUUCAAUUCCUCCAUACCCACUUCUACAGGCCAUUAAAACACACACAUGGAAGAGAGUCAAGGAUUGAAAAAUAAUUGUAGCAGGCUGGCAAACUGGCUUAUAAGUAAUUUAAAAGCUCU
Chinchilla lanigera (long-tailed chinchilla) is the source of this 597-nucleotide long non-coding RNA. RefSeq lists it as uncharacterized. The record is from RefSeq and is a predicted model, not a curated record. The transcript is spliced from 3 exons. NCBI's taxonomy places the organism in Eukaryota, Metazoa, Chordata, Mammalia, Rodentia, Chinchillidae.